This is a long non-coding RNA of Lytechinus pictus (painted urchin), 2543 nucleotides long. RefSeq lists it as uncharacterized. The record is from RefSeq and is a predicted model, not a curated record. The transcript is spliced from 8 exons. NCBI's taxonomy places the organism in Eukaryota, Metazoa, Echinodermata, Echinoidea, Temnopleuroida, Toxopneustidae.
GCCGGGGGAUGGAUUAGCUGCACUGGCGGUGACCAAUGUGUGGAGAAAAGGCCUACUUUUCGUUGAAAUUGCUGCGCUUUUGACAAUUCUAAUAGCGAUUUUGCCAAUAUGUGAUCGUUGUGCUGAUUCAUAGAUACCUAGGACUGAGUAGGAGGAACUUUGCAGAUAACUCAGUUGCUUUACUACAUCGAGAAAUUGAUGAACUUGUCAAAAUCAACUCCCAGGCUUUUGCUACACUACACUACCGGUACAGUCCCAUGUAUUUGCUUGAAUGUCACCACUCUGAGUCUGAAACUUACCUGGAAUUUUCACCCAUUCAUUAUGAUCAUAUCCAAUCAAACGGAAAAUAACUCCGAAAUAACUGUACAUUCCUGAUUGUUAAUUGGAUUAUUCAGCUGACUAGUGUUGAGUUCUACUGACCUGUCGUCUAGUACAAAGUGCUUCAAUUCAUCUGUUUUGAUUGGAAUUUGAAUAUUAAAAAAAUUAAAGUUGAUUCCACUCAUCCUUCGAACGAGGUUAUUCUUGACUCGGACCGGGUGCUACCCAGCCCUCCUCCUCCCACCAUUAUUGAUGUUAGGUCGAGCUCAUGGUUAUUAUGCAGAGAUGUAUCAUGGAGAAUCUUCGGAAGCAGUGAGACGACGCUGUAAAAGAGGCAUCUGCAGGUGCAGGAGUUCCACACUGGGGGCAAAUCUUCAGGUUCAUCAGUUCCUGGUGGAGACCAAGAAGUUCCUUCAACAGGGGGCCUGUUUCAUAAAGAUUAACAGCUAUAUUUUGUAACUUUGUUAUUAUUGUAACUACCAUGGAAACCUUUAUUGUGGUUGGCUGCUAUAAGCCCCAUUACCAUGGAUGUUGCCAUAAUGGCAAAGUUACAAAAGCUGUAACGCUUCAUGAAAUGGGCCCCUGGCCUGGAGUAUCAAUAUCAAAGAGGAAGUACUCAUCAUCAUCUUGACUGUUGUUGAUGUGUCUUAUGCCUGAGAGAACAUUUAUAAGACAUGAGGAGAUCUGAUCCUGUUAUUUCCAGAUCAUUGCAGGCCUCUUCUUUCUGAAGCCGCUAUAACAAGGGAGAGAAUGCUAGAAGAGGGAUAAAUGGAUUCUGACCUCCCAGUUAAUACCUUACAAAAUAUGAAGGGCCUAUCAACCUUGCAACGGAGGCUAAGGAGACGUGAGGGCUGUGAAAGCAUUGGUUGAAUCAGAAACAAAGUAUCGGUACCUGUAGACUGACUGGGCUUGACUAUCUACUCUGCUUCAUGAUGCUCAAAGCACUACAGUACUCUUGACCAUCACUGAUUAGGGUAUCUCAAGGGACAAGGCUUGACUGGAGAUGUAUGGUGCUCUGAUGAAUUUCCUCAGUUCAGUUAAAGGAAUCAUUACAGAACAAGGUAGAGAAUGCUAGAAGAGGGAUGAAUGGAUUCUGACCAAUAACGUCAUCUUGCCAAACAUAAAGGGCCUAUUGACCUUGCAAUGGAUCAGGCUAAGGAGAAGGCUGUGAAAGAUAUGGAUGAAUCAGAAGAUCUGCAGUCAUGUCACUCAUGGAUACACCCCCUUUCUGAUGUUAAUCAUCUUCCAAGCAUGAAUGAGAGAGAUAGUCUACCAGGAAAGGACAUGACACAAUCAUCCUCUAUAUGGAAUGUCGGGUUUGUUUGUGUACUGUAAUUGCAGUGACCAAUCAAGAUCAUUGUAACAUGCACCAGGAAACAAUCAGAAUAGUUGUUCUAUAUUUGCAUUUCAUCACAAACUUUUGUGUUAUAUAGCCCUGGUAUGUAGAGAAGCAAACACCAUGUUUUACUUUAUAUUUUGUAAUGGAUUUUAAUAUGAUAUUUGUAUAGCUUCAAGGAGCAGGUCCAAGCUAUCAUCUCAAAUCAAUAGUUUGUGCAUAAGCUUUGAAAUAGUUGACAAAUAUUGCAGGGUAAAACCUUUAAUAGUGUUUUUCUUAUGUAUUUUAUUGGGUUUUUUUUUUAAUUUCUCAUGUAUUGUAUUGUUUAUUGACUUCUUGAAUUUUUUUCAAUGGAAAUUGUCAGCAACACUCUUUUGAUCACAAACAAUAUGAAAUGAAUGGAAAUUGAUCAGAAAAAAAAUAUCAUUAAUUUGGGAUCGAAACAGAAUAGGCAUUGGAUGUGUAUAAGAAAUCACAUUUUUGAGCAAUUUUUUACCUGACUGACAUGUACGGAAGUAAUUUUGGGUAAUUUCAGAACUGCAUACCCGGUCAUCACAAAUUUGGUGUCAACAGUUGCACAAAGCAGAGAAAAAAUUCAUUAAAUAUUUCACUUUACUGAUUUAUUUAGUGUUAAGCUUCAUAAAACAGUAUGGUAUCAAGGCCUAUAGUAGCUAUUUAUGGAGUAAUUUUGCUUUUUAACAUUAUCUUGAUAUUGUUAUUUCUGUGGUUUUUUUUUUUUUUUUUUUAUUCUGCAAAAGUGGAUCCAAAGGUUUUCCAGAGUUUUCGCCUAUUGAGUUUUAUCUCUGGUUUUUUACCCUGGAUCUACUUGUCGUAGAAUUGUUAAAGGGGAAUUCAACCUUGGUCAUAAAAUGGUGUGUAGAGGAUCAGG